RNAcentral lists this long non-coding RNA (2467 nucleotides) under Haliotis rufescens (red abalone). RNAcentral describes it as "uncharacterized LOC124122743, transcript variant X3". Lineage: Eukaryota; Metazoa; Mollusca; Gastropoda; Lepetellida; Haliotidae. The record is from RNAcentral.
UUGUUCUCUACACAUUCAAUAUGGUAUCCAUACAGCGGGUAGCAUGCAAAGUAAUGGAGUUUUUUUCUGAAACAGAAGGAAAACUAGUUCCACGCUAUUGUUGCGGCCGAAACUUAUAGACGGGGCCAAGCUUUCGCCUGUGUCCAGCGGCCAGCGCAGAAGUGCCAUCCAACACGACCUUGAACUUUCUUGAACCAAAACAUGGCGGCCAGGAAGUGAUUUUUAGAAAUGAUCUUGAUGAUGUUUGCUGUUUUAUAAGCAAAAUGUGAAAUGUCAUCGGAUACCUUAUCAGCCCGUGGAUACAUAAGGUCUUGCUUGCUGCCCGCAGUUUGACCCAACAGCCACACAGAUGUAGAGAUGCAGUCACAGUCAGGCGUCGACAGCCUAGUGCCAUCAAACCUGGGUUUGGUGACCAUUGAGAAGUCUUCAGCACUCAUCCUAGUGACAGUCCUGGAUAUCUGGGGUGGAGGGGCACUUUCUGACUCUUCAGAUUGAAAGCCGAGGAACAUGGACUGCUGCCGCCAGCUGUUUGUUACACCGCCUCGACACACAACAGAGUACCGGGCACACCUGGAGCAGUCGCCACUGUAGCACUUGAGGGUUGCUUCGAGCACUCUAGGUCUUGCCCGCAGUAGGACGCAACAGCCACACAGAGGUAGAGAUGCCCUCACAAUCAGAUGUCGACAGCCCAGUGCCAUCCGCCUUUCAUCGUUGACUCCAAGUUGAAGGCCCUCUGUGUGUUUUGGCUUGACAAGUGACAAGUGGCAGUGACAGCACACCCAAGCCCAAGUCGAAGUUUCCAAAUUGACUUUGCCGGACUCUUGCAGUUGACAAGAUGAACAAACAGCACUGUGGGCUCUACCACGGAAGUUACGAGCAAAGGUUGUAUCACGAGGUUGUAUCACGAGGUUGUGUCACGAGGUUGUAUCACGAGGUUGUAUCACAAGGCUGUAUCACGAGGUUGUAUCACGAGGCUGUAUCACCAGGCUGUAUCACGAGGCUGUAUCACGAGGCUGUAUCACGAGGUUGUAUCACGAGGUUGUAUCACGAGGUAAUGACCGGUGCAUUGCCUUGUUUGUUGCUUCACACUGUUGACAGUGGAGGUUGAUUUGGGUCUUUUCAAUCAUUUUAGGGCCGAGACAAAAGUCUAAAUCUAAAUAUUUACUUUGCAAUAACAAAUUUUGCUUCUCCCCCUUGCAAACAAAUGACUGCUUUCUGUGUUUUUUGUGAUCCCCCAUGUAACAUUUUGCAAAAGCAUCACAAGUCUAUGAGAGAGAUUUCUUCCUCCUUGGCAGGUCACCUGCAUCACCUGAGUUAGCAGCUGAAAACUCACCUGCACAUCUGGAUGCACAGUCUAAAGAAAAUCUAUUUGCCAAAUUUUGUUUAUCUUGUUUGGCUCUAGCCGGCAUCAUAUCCACAACAAAUUUAGAAUUUUUAAUAAACGUUUUUAAUAAACGUUUGAUGCCGUGUAUGAAGAAAAGUUUGUGGGCAAGCAUACAUUUCACCUGCUUCAUAAAUUUCAAUGUGCGCUGCACUGUCAGCAACUCUUCCACAAUUUGGUCUUUCUUUAAUUCCCUGAAACACUGCAGUUCACUGUUUUAAUUUCCAAUUGAUUCUGACAUAUGCACAUCGGAUGUGCAGUGUGGGUUGUUUACACAAGAAAUAUUGUCAACUAAACUGUGCUUUGAACAUAGUUUGGGUUUUGGGUUUAAAGCCAAAGUUUGGUGGUCACUAGCCUUGAUCUCAGUGGCCACGUAGGUUACUUGAGUGGCUGGCUGAAAAGGGGUUUUCCUAAGUCGUGAACACAGUGAUUGUUGUACAUUGCAUCAGGUGAUCAGCUUACCUUAUUUAAAUUUGCUCCCCUGUAUUUAGUUACUUCCUUAUUUCCACCCUCCUGGCUCUCAUGUCUUUUGUGUUCUGAGAUUUUAUAUCAUCACCAACUCUGUUGGCAGCUUUCUGCAUGCCUGAACGGGAUGGUGGAGGUAUAUCGGAGCUCAUGUGCAGGACGCGGAAACUCUCACUUCAAUAGGACAUUUUGAGAGGCCUAUCUGUAGUCCAGUAUUGGCUUUGGAAGAUGGACGUCCCCUUCUCACCUCACCUCACCACCCACUACCUCCUUGUACAGUGUACGUACUUCAACAGUUUCAGGGAACUCUCAUCCUCCUUGGGGGUGUUUUCCUUCCUUGGCCUAAACAGAAUACAGCUCACAUGUCUUGCCUGAUGACCAGUUCAUGUCAACCUGAUGACACAGCUCCAUGAGAGUCAUGGUGUUAGGGAACCAGGGAUAGGGUACAAUGCCCCUUUUAGAGUCUUGGGUUUAGUGAACCAGGAAUAGGGUACAAUGUCCCUUUUAGAGUCUUGGCGUUAGGGAACCAUGGAUAGGGUACAAUGCCCCUUUUAGAGUCUUGGGGUUAGGGAACCAGGGAUAGGGUACAAUGCCCCUUUUAGAACUCUUGGGGUUAGGGAA